This 102-nucleotide unclassified non-coding RNA is filed under the name soil metagenome. RNAcentral's name for it is "partial internal transcribed spacer 1". The record is from RNAcentral.
CAAAUUUGUAGCUCACGCUAUAUAUUUUACCACUUGUGAAUAAGGGGACUCGUCUCUGCAUUUACGUGUCAUUCAUAAUAGAUGUUGUUUAUUGUAAGCAAA